CUGGGCUCCUCUGCAGCCUGUUCUUCCUCCUCAACGUCAAAGCUCCCGACACGCUCGGUGACAUAUGGCAGCCUAUGUGUGCGGUAUGCCAAAUGCGCUAUGUUUGCUUUCUGACUCUGGAGCCUGGUGUGUGUUUGGGGCAUCCUAGUUCUUACAGGGGUACUGGUAAACUGGCAGCUGGCCACUGGAAUCUUUUUUGGAAUGAGCUUGACCAAAACCUGCGCAUAGGUUAGGAAGGCCAACCUCGGGAGCACAGCUGUGGGCAUCUGGUCCAACCCAGCCUCAGUUUGAGCCGG
RNAcentral lists this long non-coding RNA (296 nucleotides) under Cavia porcellus (domestic guinea pig). RNAcentral's name for it is "lncRNA (ENSCPOG00000038014.1)". The record is from RNAcentral. Lineage: Eukaryota; Metazoa; Chordata; Mammalia; Rodentia; Caviidae.